Mastomys coucha (southern multimammate mouse) is the source of this 582-nucleotide long non-coding RNA. RefSeq lists it as uncharacterized. NCBI's taxonomy places the organism in Eukaryota, Metazoa, Chordata, Mammalia, Rodentia, Muridae. The record is from RefSeq and is a predicted model, not a curated record. The transcript is spliced from 4 exons.
GAGAAAUGAGCUCUGGUGCUCUGCUCUUAAGUCCUGCUUACUCGGUCUGGAACUCCAGCUCAGGGGAUGAUGUCACCCACAUUUAGGUUGGGCCUUCUCACCUCAAUCAACCUGAUCUAGAUAAUUCUUCAUGGACAUAUCCAGGAGUUCCAGUCACUCUGAUACACCUGUCCCCAUCCCAGCUUACAUGGAAACAACAUCAGCCUGCUCCUGGUGCCCAUAGAAAAAGAUGAAGAAGAUACCUGCUUCCGUAGUCCCUGUGUUAUCUGCAAUCCUAACCAACAGGGGAAGGCGGGGCCUGUCGAGUGUUGGGCUCGGUGAACCUCACAGUGGAUCUCUGCAGUAGUGCCAGGGUCUCUCCCCUUCCUGACUGAUUGUUCUUCAGCUGAGCAAUCUUCUCCAGGAUCCAGUGCUCAUCUCUGUAUCCCUCAUCAGGUAAACAAGACAAUGCUCUUGGUGACCAGUCAACAGUAGCAUCGAGUCCUGGCAUUUCAGUAAUCAACUAUGUCACGUGUUCAAUCAAAUCCAUUCAUAGUUCUAACAUAGCUGAUUGUAGAAUGUGAAUGGCCAAGCCAUCCAAAA